UGGGGAAUUUUGCACAAUGGGCGCAAGCCUGAUGCAGCGACGCCGCGUGAGGGAUGAAGGCCUUCGGGUUGUAAACCUUUUUCGCUCAUGGUCAAGCCGCAGCUUUGGGUUGUGGUGAGGGUAGUGGGUAAAGAAGCGCCGGCUAACUACGUGCCAGCAGCCGCGGUAAUACGUAGGGCGCGAGCGUUGUCCGGAAUUAUUGGGCGUAAAGGGCUUGUAGGCGGUUGGCCGCGUCUGCCGUGAAAUCCUCUGGCUUAACUGGGGGCGUGCGGUGGGUACGGGUUGACUUGAGUGCGGUAGGGGAGACUGGAAUUCCUGGUGUAGCGGUGGAAUGCGCAGAUAUCAGGAGGAACACCGGUGGCGAAGGCGGGUCUCUGGGCCGUUACUGACGCUGAGGGGCGAAAGCGUGGGGAGCGAACAGG
RNAcentral lists this ribosomal RNA (422 nucleotides) under Verrucomicrobiota bacterium. RNAcentral describes it as "Verrucomicrobia bacterium partial 16S ribosomal RNA". It matches the Rfam family "Bacterial small subunit ribosomal RNA", at positions 355 to 776 of the family's 1533-position model. Lineage: Bacteria; Pseudomonadati; Verrucomicrobiota. The record is from RNAcentral.